Molecule: ribosomal RNA, 164 nt
Filed under: Dothideomycetes sp.
Lineage: Eukaryota; Fungi; Ascomycota; Dothideomycetes
Description: partial large subunit ribosomal RNA
Rfam family: Eukaryotic large subunit ribosomal RNA
Source: RNAcentral
CGGCAACAGCUCAAAUUUGAAAUCUGGCCCUCUCAGGGUCCGAGUUGUAAUUUGGAGAGGAUGCCUCGGGGCAGCGGCCGGUCUAAGUUCCUUGGAACAGGACGUCGCAGAGGGUGAGAAUCCCGUACGCGACCGGUUGGCACCCCGCGCGAGGCUCCUUCGAC